This 72-nucleotide transfer RNA is filed under the name Candidatus Colwellbacteria bacterium RIFCSPLOWO2_02_FULL_44_20b. RNAcentral describes it as "tRNA-Glu". It matches the Rfam family "tRNA". From Rfam's summary of the family: Transfer RNA (tRNA) molecules are approximately 80 nucleotides in length. Their secondary structure includes four short double-helical elements and three loops (D, anti-codon, and T loops). Further hydrogen bonds mediate the characteristic L-shaped molecular structure. tRNAs have two regions of fundamental functional importance: the anti-codon, which is responsible for specific mRNA codon recognition, and the 3' end, to which the tRNAs corresponding amino acid is attached (by aminoacyl-tRNA synthetases). tRNAs cope with the degeneracy of the genetic code in two manners: having more than one tRNA (with a specific anti-codon) for a particular amino acid; and 'wobble' base-pairing, i.e. permitting non-standard base-pairing at the 3rd anti-codon position. The record is from RNAcentral. Lineage: Bacteria; Candidatus Colwelliibacteriota.
GGCCCCAUCGUCUAGUGGUUAGGACGUCGGGUUUUCAUCCCGGCAACAGGGGUUCGAUUCCCCUUGGGGCUG